GACGAACGCUGGCGGCGUGCUUAACACAUGCAAGUCGAGCGGUAAGGCCCUUUCGGGGGUACGACGAGCGGCGAACGGGUGAGUAACACGUGGGUGACCUGCCCUCAGCUCUGGGAUAAGCCUGGGAAACCGGGUCUAAUACUGGAUAUGACUCCAUGACGCAUGUUGUGGGGUGGAAAGCCUUGUGCGGCUGAGGAUGGGCCCGCGGCCUAUCAGCUUGUUGGUGGGGUGAGGCCUACCAAGGCGACGACGGGUAGCCGGCCUGAGAGGGCGACCGGCCACACUGGGACUGAGACACGGCCCAGACUCCUACGGGAGGCAGCAGUGGGGAAGUCUUGCGCAAUGGGCGAAAGCCUGACGCAGCGACGCCGCGUGAGGGAUGACGGCCUC
RNAcentral lists this ribosomal RNA (390 nucleotides) under uncultured bacterium. RNAcentral describes it as "bacterial SSU rRNA". It matches the Rfam family "Bacterial small subunit ribosomal RNA", at positions 28 to 418 of the family's 1533-position model. The record is from RNAcentral.